CCUACGGGAGGCAGCAGUGAGGAAUAUUGGUCAAUGGACGAGAGUCUGAACCAGCCAAGUAGCGUGAAGGAUGACUGCCCUAUGGGUUGUAAACUUCUUUUAUAUGGGAAUAAAAUGUUCCACGUGUGGGAUUUUGUAUGUACCAUAUGAAUAAGGAUCGGCUAACUCCGUGCCAGCAGCCGCGGUAAUACGGAGGAUCCGAGCGUUAUCCGGAUUUAUUGGGUUUAAAGGGAGCGUAGGUGGAUUGUUAAGUCAGUUGUGAAAGUUUGCGGCUCAACCGUAAAAUUGCAGUUGAAACUGGCAGUCUUGAGUACAGUAGAGGUGUGCGGAAUGCGUGGUGUAGCGGUGAAAUGCUUAGAUAUCACGAAGAACUCCGAUUGCGAAGGCAGUUCACUGGACUGCAACUGACACUGAGGCUCGAAAGUGUGGGUAUCAAACAGGAUUAGAGACCCGUGUAGUC
This 460-nucleotide ribosomal RNA is filed under the name uncultured bacterium. RNAcentral's name for it is "partial 16S ribosomal RNA". It matches the Rfam family "Bacterial small subunit ribosomal RNA", at positions 338 to 795 of the family's 1533-position model. The record is from RNAcentral.